This 518-nucleotide ribosomal RNA is filed under the name uncultured bacterium. RNAcentral describes it as "bacterial SSU rRNA". It matches the Rfam family "Bacterial small subunit ribosomal RNA", at positions 992 to 1509 of the family's 1533-position model. The record is from RNAcentral.
AGAACUUAGCAGAGAUGCUUUGGUGCCUUCGGGAACUCUGAGACAGGUGCUGCAUGGCUGUCGUCAGCUCGUGUUGUGAAAUGUUGGGUUAAGUCCCGCAACGAGCGCAACCCUUUAUCCUUUGUUGCCAGCGGCUCGGCCGGGAACUCAAAGGAGACUGCUGGUGAUAAACCGGAGGAAGGUGGGGAUGACGUCAAGUCAUCAUGGCCCUUACGGCCAGGGCUACACACGUGCUACAAUGGCGCAUACAAAGAGAAGCGACCUCGCGAGAGCAAGCGGACCUCAUAAAGUGCGUCGUAGUCCGGAUUGGAGUCUGCAACUCGACUCCAUGAAGUCGGAAUCGCUAGUAAUCGUAGAUCAGAAUGCUACGGUGAAUACGUUCCCGGGCCUUGUACACACCGCCCGUCACACCAUGGGAGUGGGUUGCAAAAGAAGUAGGUAGCUUAACCUUCGGGAGGGCGCUUACCACUUUGUGAUUCAUGACUGGGGUGAAGUCGUAACAAGGUAGGCGUAGCGAG